UAAAUAAACACGGAACUCACCGUCAAAAAUAUCCACCAUAUUGAAAAAGGCCAAAGACAAGGAUGAUUUCCCGCUGCCUGUUCGUCCACAGAUUCCCACCUGACAGGAAGAGAAGGUUGGACAUGUGACAGUUUGAUGAACAACAGAGUGACGCCUCUUUGUGGUCUGAGGUUUUUCCCGCUUCACUGUAACGUCCUCAGGAUCGUAGUCCCUGAUUCUUCUGAGGAUCAGAUUUUAUUGACUAAUGAUGUUUACUAAGUCACCAGCUGAAAGGACGAAAAGUUUAACCAAUGACAGCAAAGAACCGUGAAUGGAUGUGUUGUGGGGGACACAUCCAUUGGUCUUGUUCAGGUUUAAACAAAGCUUCGGGUGUCAAACAUAUGGCCCAUGGGCAAAAACCAGCCCACAAAACCAAUUUUUUUGGGUCGUAUCACGUCAUGUUUCCCAGGAGUUUAAGAAUAAUUACUAUUGACUUGGGUUUGUUGGUGAUGUUUUGGUUGGUGAUGAACUGUAUUACUGGUGGCUCUCCGAUUAGUUUGACACCCCUGCUCUGUAUUAAGCUUCUUGCUAGUUAGCAUUCUAAGGUACGUCUUAUGUUUCUACUCGUUGUUUUAACCCCUGAUGUUCUAUAGUUCCUUAAGCUUCUAGUUGUAGCUUUUUAACAUUUGUGUAUACCUCUAGCUAAUUUUAGUACCUUUUGUACUCGCAUUUUCUUUGACGAUCAUAGUUAGCCUGAAUUUGUAGCAUCUGGUUUAGCUACUGUAUGGUCAGCUACUAUCUGCUACAUUGUUUGUAAGACUUUAACCUUUUUUAAUCUUAAGCUUCUAUUCUUGGCCAAAUGUGCAUUUAGCCGUAGCCAGUUUGUUGUGUUGUUUUGUUUUAUAUUUGUUUCAAUUCCAUUCACCUUUUACAAAUAAAACUCCUGUAAGACGAAAA
This is a long non-coding RNA of Cynoglossus semilaevis (tongue sole), 936 nucleotides long. RefSeq lists it as uncharacterized. The transcript is spliced from 2 exons. The record is from RefSeq and is a predicted model, not a curated record. NCBI's taxonomy places the organism in Eukaryota, Metazoa, Chordata, Actinopteri, Pleuronectiformes, Cynoglossidae.